UGGGGAAUAUUGCACAAUGGGCGCAAGCCUGAUGCAUCCAUGCCGCGUGUAUGAAGAAGGCCUUCGGGUUGUAAAGUACUUUCAGCGGGGAGGAAGGGAGUAAAGUUAAUACCUUUGCUCAUUGACGUUACCCGCAGAAGCAGCACCGGCUAACUCCGUGCCAGCAGCCGCGGUAAUACGGAGGUUGCAAGCGUUCAUCGGAAUUACUGGGCGUAAAGCGCACGCAGGCGGUUUGUUAAGUCAGAUGUGAAAUCCCCGGGCUCAACCUGGGAACUGCAUCUGAUACUGGAAAGCUUGAGUAUCGUAGAGGGGGGUAGAAUUCCAGGUGUAGCGGGGAAAUGCGUAGAGAUAUGGAAGAAUACCGGUGGCGAAGGCGGCCCCCUGGACGAAGACUGACGCUCAGGUGCGAAAGCGUGGGGAGCAAACA
Molecule: ribosomal RNA, 427 nt
Filed under: Chloroflexota bacterium
Lineage: Bacteria; Bacillati; Chloroflexota
Description: Chloroflexi bacterium partial 16S ribosomal RNA
Rfam family: Bacterial small subunit ribosomal RNA
Source: RNAcentral